RNAcentral lists this transfer RNA (71 nucleotides) under Melampsora larici-populina 98AG31. Its description in RNAcentral is "tRNA-Ile (AAT) (tRNA-Ile-AAT-5-1)". It matches the Rfam family "tRNA". From Rfam's summary of the family: Transfer RNA (tRNA) molecules are approximately 80 nucleotides in length. The record is from RNAcentral. Lineage: Eukaryota; Fungi; Basidiomycota; Pucciniomycetes; Pucciniales; Melampsoraceae.
GGUGUUAGCUUAGUUGGUAGAGCGUGGUACUAAUAAUGCCAAGGUCAUGGGUUCGAGCCCCAUAUGGACCA